GACGAACGCUGGCGGCGUGCUUAACACAUGCAAGUCGAACGAUGAAGCCUAGCUUGCUAGGUGGAUUAGUGGCGAACGGGUGAGUAAUACGUGAGUGACCUACCUUUGACUCUGGGAUAAGCCUGGGAAACUGGGUCUAAUACCGGAUACGACCAAUCUCCGCAUGGGGUGUUGGUGGAAGGCGUUAUGGAGUGGUUUUAGAUGGGCUCACGGCCUAUCAGCUUGUUGGUGAGGUAAUGGCUUACCAAGGCGACGACGGGUAGCCGGCCUGAGAGGGUGACCGGCCACACUGGGACUGAGACACGGCCCAGACUCCUACGGGAGGCAGCAGUGGGGAAUAUUGCACAAUGGGCGCAAGCCUGAUGCAGCGACGCCGCGUGAGGGAUGACGGCCUUCGGGUUGUAAACCUCUGUUAGCAUCGAAGAAGCGAAAGUGACGGUAGGUGCAGAGAAAGCGCCGGCUAACUACGUG
RNAcentral lists this ribosomal RNA (471 nucleotides) under uncultured bacterium. Its description in RNAcentral is "partial 16S ribosomal RNA". It matches the Rfam family "Bacterial small subunit ribosomal RNA", at positions 28 to 507 of the family's 1533-position model. The record is from RNAcentral.